RNAcentral lists this ribosomal RNA (207 nucleotides) under uncultured bacterium. RNAcentral describes it as "partial 16S ribosomal RNA". It matches the Rfam family "Bacterial small subunit ribosomal RNA", at positions 568 to 774 of the family's 1533-position model. The record is from RNAcentral.
AGCGUAGACGGUGUGGCAAGUCUGAUGUGAAAGGCAUGGGCUCAACCUGUGGACUGCAUUGGAAACUGUCAUACUUGAGUGCCGGAGGGGUAAGCGGAAUUCCUAGUGUAGCGGUGAAAUGCGUAGAUAUUAGGAGGAACACCAGUGGCGAAGGCGGCUUACUGGACGGUAACUGACGUUGAGGCUCGAAAGCAUGGGUAGCAAACA